ACAAAACAUCAAGCCAACAGUUCAGGACUAGUCAUUCAAAUGGACUAAAGGUGGGGGAGAAAAAAUAAGAGUGGAUAAAAGAAAGAAAGAAAACAGAGAAAGGUGGGAAAAAAAAAACAAAGGAAGGAAGAGAGAAAAGAGAAUGAGAGGAAGAGAAGGAAGGGGAAAAACAAGAUUGACUUUACAGUAUGAGAUAUACUAUUAUAUAUUGUAGUAUGAUGCCUCUGGCUUCCCUCUAUCACACGUCUUCUUUUCGAGUAAAGGUUUUUCAUAAAUGUGAGCGUGGAAGAAGAAACCAGUUAAAUAUGGAACUUCACACCAGGACACAAAAGGACUUCAAACUUUUAGAUUCCACAAGUAUGUGAAAAGAUGCAGUAUUUGUCUUUCUGUGCAUGGUUUACUUCACUUAUCAUCAUGUCCCUCAGGUUCAUCCACGUUGUUGCAAAUGACAGGAUUUCAUUCAUUUUUAAGACUGAAUAGUACUCCAUUAUGCAAAUAUACCAGAUUUUCAUUGUCUAUUCGUUCACUGAUGAACACGGGUUAAUCCUAUAUGUUGGCUAUUGUGAAUAAAGCUGCAAUGAAUAUGAGAGUACAGAUAUAUUCUUGACAUAUUAAUUUUAUUUUAUUUGGCAAUAUACCCAAUAGUAGCUAGAUCAUAUCAGAGUUCUAUUUUUAAUUUUUGAGGAAACUUCAUACUGUUUUUCAUAAUAGUUAUUACUAAUUUACACUCAGUAUACAAGAGUUCCCUUUUCUCCACAUUCUUUCCAAAAUUUGUUUCCUUUUCCCUUUUUGAUAACAGCUACUCUAACUGGGGUGAAAUAAUAUCUCACUGUGGUUUUAAUUUUCAUUUAUCUGAUUAAUGAUUUUGAGCUUUUUAAAAUAAAUACUUGUUGGCAAUUUGUAUGUCAUCUUUUGAGAAGUGUCUAUUAAAAU
Molecule: long non-coding RNA, 933 nt
Filed under: Homo sapiens (human)
Lineage: Eukaryota; Metazoa; Chordata; Mammalia; Primates; Hominidae
Description: non-protein coding lnc-CADM2-3:8
Source: RNAcentral